Molecule: long non-coding RNA, 593 nt
Organism: Sorghum bicolor (sorghum)
Lineage: Eukaryota; Viridiplantae; Streptophyta; Magnoliopsida; Poales; Poaceae
Exons: 2
Source: RefSeq, a predicted model, not a curated record
AGGAGUAAUGUGUGCUGCUGCAUGCAUAUUGCAGCUGGUGGAUCGGAGGACGGACGCGCGUGGAACUGUGGUCAUCCCAACACGUGAGGGCGGUAAUGCUAUUCGCCAUGACAGUUAAGCGUGUAAGUACGGCGCUGAUCGUCGAUCUUCCUAGCUCGCUGGCGUGACAGAAACAUAUACCCUCAGAACGGUCGGGUGACUGCAUGUCUGCAUGCAGCACACAAGAGCAGCGGCAAGCAGCGGAAGAACGGCUAGUGCAUACUGUAGUCAAGACUCAACGCAACAACUGUCAUGAGGUGAAGGCAACUCUCAUGAGGUAAAAGUGUAACACGUCAAUGUGGCUUCAAAUCAAAAUACUUGAAUCCUACAAUCUUAGCAUCACAGCUUCUCAAGUUGUGAAUCGAGUUGAUCUCACCAAGAAGGUUAAUCCCUACCUGGGAAACGAAAAACAAAAGUGAGACUCGAAAGUACACAAUCCAACUACUCAAUUAAAGUGACAAGUUGUGGAUGUAUGAUUAUGCUCAUGAAAUUGGGGUUUCACAACCAAUAUAAUGACAGACGAUUGUUUGAUGGUGGAUUGAUCUAAAUCAAAA